RNAcentral lists this long non-coding RNA (210 nucleotides) under Olea europaea (common olive). RNAcentral's name for it is "long non-coding RNA (OEUR_LNC000773)". Lineage: Eukaryota; Viridiplantae; Streptophyta; Magnoliopsida; Lamiales; Oleaceae. The record is from RNAcentral.
ACUCUAUCAAGUAUCUCAAAAGGUCUAAUAUACCGGGGUCGUAGCUUGCCUUUCUUUCCAAAUCUAAGUACACCUUUCAUCGGUGCUACUUUUAGAAACACUUUAUCCCCAACUUGGAAUUCUAAAUCCUUCCUCCUUGUAUCUGCAUAGCUCUUUUGUCGAUCCUGUGCUACCUUUAUUCUUACACGGAUCUUAUCGAUUACCUCGACC